This 116-nucleotide ribosomal RNA is filed under the name Planctomycetota bacterium. Lineage: Bacteria; Pseudomonadati; Planctomycetota. The record is from RNAcentral.
UCUGGUGGCAGUAAGGCUGUGGUCCGACCCGAUCCCUUCCCGAACUCGGCCGUCAAACACAGUGCUGCCGAUGGUAGUACCUCUAUAGGUUGUGCGAGAGUAGGUAGCCGCCAGAU